RNAcentral lists this ribosomal RNA (1460 nucleotides) under uncultured bacterium. Its description in RNAcentral is "bacterial SSU rRNA". It matches the Rfam family "Bacterial small subunit ribosomal RNA". The record is from RNAcentral.
UGGCGGCAGGCCUAACACAUGCAAGUCGAACGGUAACAGGAAGAAGCUUGCUUCUUUGCUGACGAGUGGCGGACGGGUGAGUAAUGUCUGGGAAACUGCCUGAUGGAGGGGGAUAACUACUGGAAACGGUAGCUAAUACCGCAUAACGUCGCAAGACCAAAGAGGGGGACCUUCGGGCCUCUUGCCAUCGGAUGUGCCCAGAUGGGAUUAGCUAGUAGGUGGGGUAACGGCUCACCUAGGCGACGAUCCCUAGCUGGUCUGAGAGGAUGACCAGCCACACUGGAACUGAGACACGGUCCAGACUCCUACGGGAGGCAGCAGUGGGGAAUAUUGCACAAUGGGCGCAAGCCUGAUGCAGCCAUGCCGCGUGUAUGAAGAAGGCCUUCGGGUUGUAAAGUACUUUCAGCGGGGAGGAAGGGAGUAAAGUUAAUACCUUUGCUCAUUGACGUUACCCGCAGAAGAAGCACCGGCUAACUCCGUGCCAGCAGCCGCGGUAAUACGGAGGGUGCAAGCGUUAAUCGGAAUUACUGGGCGUAAAGCGCACGCAGGCGGUUUGUUAAGUCAGAUGUGAAAUCCCCGGGCUCAACCUGGGAACUGCAUCUGAUACUGGCAAGCUUGAGUCUCGUAGAGGGGGGUAGAAUUCCAGGUGUAGCGGUGAAAUGCGUAGAGAUCUGGAGGAAUACCGGUGGCGAAGGCGGCCCCCUGGACGAAGACUGACGCUCAGGUGCGAAAGCGUGGGGAGCAAACAAGGGUAGAUACCCUGGUAGUCCACGCCGUAAACGAUGUCGACUUGGAGGUUGUGCCCUUGAGGCGUGGCUUCCGGAGCUAACGCGUUAAGUCGACCGCCUGGGGAGUACGGCCGCAAGGUUAAAACUCAAAUGAAUUGACGGGGGCCCGCACAAGCGGUGGAGCAUGUGGUUUAAUUCGAUGCAACGCGAAGAACCUUACCUGGUCUUGACAUCCACGGAAGUUUUCAGAGAUGAGAAUGUGCCUUCGGGAACCGUGAGACAGGUGCUGCAUGGCUGUCGUCAGCUCGUGUUGUGAAAUGUUGGGUUAAGUCCCGCAACGAGCGCAACCCUUAUCCUUUGUUGCCAGCGGUCCGGCCGGGAACUCAAAGGAGACUGCCAGUGAUAAACUGGAGGAAGGUGGGGAUGACGUCAAGUCAUCAUGGCCCUUACGACCAGGGCUACACACGUGCUACAAUGGCGCAUACAAAGAGAAGCGACCUCGCGAGAGCAAGCGGACCUCAUAAAGUGCGUCGUAGUCCGGAUUGGAGUCUGCAACUCGACUCCAUGAAGUCGGAAUCGCUAGUAAUCGUGGAUCAGAAUGCCACGGUGAAUACGUUCCCGGGCCUUGUACACACCGCCCGUCACACCAUGGGAGUGGGUUGCAAAAGAAGUAGGUAGCUUAACCUUCGGGAGGGCGCUUACCACUUUGUGAUUCAUGACUGGGGUGAAGUC